GACGAACGCUGGCGGCGUGCUUAAUACAUGCAAGUCGAACGGAAAGGCCCUGCUUUUGUGGGGUGCUCGAGUGGCGAACGGGUGAGUAACACGUGAGUAACCUGCCCUUGACUUUGGGAUAACUUCAGGAAACUGGGGCUAAUACCGGAUAGGAGCUCCUGCUGCAUGGUGUGGGUUGGAAAGUUUCGGCGGUUGGGGAUGGACUCGCGGCUUAUCAGCUUGUUGGUGGGGUAGUGGCUUACCAAGGCUUUGACGGGUAGCCGGCCUGAGAGGGUGACCGGCCACAUUGGGACUGAGAUACGGCCCAGACUCCUACGGGAGGCAGCAGUGGGGAAUAUUGCACAAUGGGCGGAAGCCUGAUGCAGCAACGCCGCGUGCGGGAUGACGGCCUUCGGGUUGUAAACCGCUUUCGCCUGUGACGAAGCGUGAGUGACGGUAAUGGGUAAAGAAGCACCGGCUAACUACGUG
This 468-nucleotide ribosomal RNA is filed under the name uncultured bacterium. Its description in RNAcentral is "partial 16S ribosomal RNA". It matches the Rfam family "Bacterial small subunit ribosomal RNA", at positions 28 to 507 of the family's 1533-position model. The record is from RNAcentral.